CUUUUACUCCCUUCGUCCGAAAAUACUUGCCUAGAAAUGGAUGUAUCUAGACUUAUUUUAGUUAUAGAUACAUCUAUUUUAUUCAUUUCUAGGACAAGUAUUUUGCACGGAGGGAGUACUUU
This 122-nucleotide microRNA precursor is filed under the name Hordeum vulgare. RNAcentral describes it as "microRNA MIR1122". It matches the Rfam family "MIR1120/MIR1122 microRNA precursor family". Lineage: Eukaryota; Viridiplantae; Streptophyta; Magnoliopsida; Poales; Poaceae. The record is from RNAcentral.